Culex pipiens pallens (northern house mosquito) is the source of this 588-nucleotide long non-coding RNA. RefSeq lists it as uncharacterized. NCBI's taxonomy places the organism in Eukaryota, Metazoa, Arthropoda, Insecta, Diptera, Culicidae. The record is from RefSeq and is a predicted model, not a curated record. The transcript is spliced from 2 exons.
AAAAAAACCAACAUAGCAAAAUUAAAUGCUUUUUCACGUGAGCCACUCCAAAAACCAACACAAUAGAUUCACAUGCUUUUCCUUUGACCCUCACUUGCUUUGCACAUCAAAUGAAUGUGGAAAUUAUUUAGAAUCAGCUGAUCGUCGACCAAAAUUCCUUCACUCUUUUUUCGCAUGCAGUUCACGCGAAGGUCAAAUUAAUUUCACUUUGAUUUGCCCCAAUCGACUUGUCCUUCGAUUCUGAAGUGAAAGUCACGUUAGAAUCACAUGUUUUGAUUAUGAAAGUUGCGUGUCGAAAAAGGACGAUGAGUCAACAAAAUAAGAUGGCGAAUUUCAGAAGCUCGCUGUUUGAACUCUUCCUUUUAAAAUAAGUUUAUUGUAAUAAUAUUGAAAAUUUAUAAAACAUUUGUGAAAAAAAACUUAUUGUACAAUAACGAUAAUCAAGAUCAAGCUCUGAAAAAAGCUUUCUGGGAGCUGGUCAGUUUUCGUCGAUGCUGAAGUUCCUACCCGUGAUGUUCUCUGACAAUCCGUAACUGUCUGUUCCCAGCGGAUUCGGCCGGGAGGUGUGAUUAUUUCUGGGAAGAUGAA